RNAcentral lists this ribosomal RNA (533 nucleotides) under Caecilia volcani. RNAcentral's name for it is "partial 16S ribosomal RNA". It matches the Rfam family "Bacterial large subunit ribosomal RNA", at positions 1817 to 2597 of the family's 2925-position model. The record is from RNAcentral. Lineage: Eukaryota; Metazoa; Chordata; Amphibia; Gymnophiona; Caeciliidae.
CGCCUCUAGCUCUACACAUAUUAGAGGUACUGCCUGCCCAGUGACACUGAUUCAACGGCCACGGUAUUUUGACCGUGCAAAGGUAGCAUAAUCACUUGUUUUUUAAAUAAAGACCUGUAUGAAAGGCAAAACGAGAGCUUAACUGUCUCCUUUGUCUAGUCCACGAAACUGAUCUCCCUGUAAAAAAGCAGGGAUAAACCCGUAAGACGAGAAGACCCUAUGGAACUUAAGAUAAAAACAACCCCCUGCCCCAUAACCAGCAGCAACUUGUUUUCACUAUCUUCAGUUGGGGCGACUACGGAGUACACAAACCCUCCGCGAACUAUUCGCUGAACAACACAAGCCAACGCACCAAAACAUUUUAAACAACUGAUCCAAUAGAUUGAUCAACGAACCAAGCUACCCUAGGGAUAACAGCGCAAUCUUCUUUCAGAGUCCUUAUCGACAAGAAGGUUUACGACCUCGAUGUUGGAUCAGGGUACCCAGACAAUGCAACCGUUGUCACAGGUUUGUUUUUCAACAAUUAAAACCCU